CGGACCAAGGAGUUUAGCGUGUGCGCGAGUCAUCGGGUGGAAAACCUAAAGGCGCAAUGAAAGUGAAGGGGGUCUCUGACCUCCGAGGGAGGAUGGGCGUCCGUCCUUCGCAGGCGGCGCCCCGCACUCCCGGGGCGUCUCUUUCUCAUCACGAGUGGAGGCGCACCUGUAGCGCACACGCUGAUACCCGAAAGAUGGUGAACUAUGCCUGGCCAGGACGAAGCCAGGGGAAACCCUGGUGGAGGUCCGCAGCGAUUCUGACGUGCAAAUCGAUCGUCGGAGCUGGGUAUAGGGGCGAAAGACCAAUCGAACCAUCUAGUAGCUGGUUCCUUCCGAA
RNAcentral lists this ribosomal RNA (337 nucleotides) under Cyanolicimex patagonicus. RNAcentral describes it as "partial 28S ribosomal RNA". It matches the Rfam family "Eukaryotic large subunit ribosomal RNA", at positions 662 to 965 of the family's 3401-position model. The record is from RNAcentral. Lineage: Eukaryota; Metazoa; Arthropoda; Insecta; Hemiptera; Cimicidae.